RNAcentral lists this ribosomal RNA (444 nucleotides) under uncultured bacterium. Its description in RNAcentral is "bacterial SSU rRNA". It matches the Rfam family "Bacterial small subunit ribosomal RNA", at positions 950 to 1392 of the family's 1533-position model. The record is from RNAcentral.
CACGGGGGGAACGCGAAGAACCUUACCAGGUCUUGACAUCCCAGUGACCGCUCUAGAGAUAGGAUUUUCCCUUCGGGGGCAAUGGAUACAGGUGGUGCAUGGUUGUCGUCAGCUCGUGUCGUGAGAUGUUGGGUUAAGUCCCGCAACGAGCGCAACCCCUGUCGUUAGUUGCCGGCAUUCAGUUGGGGACUCUAACGAGACUGCCAGUGACAAACUGGAGGAAGGUGGGGAUGACGUCAAAUCAUCAUGCCCCUUAUGCUUAGGGCUACACACGUGCUACAAUGGGUGGUACAGAGGGCAGCCAAGUCGUGAGGCGGAGCUAAUCCCUUAAAGCCAUUCUCAGUUCGGAUUGUAGGCUGAAACUCGUCUACAUGAAGCUGGAGUUACUAGUAAUCGCAGAUCAGAAUGCUGCGGUGAAUGCGUUCCCGGGUCUUGUACACACCG